UACGGAGGGGACUAGCGUUGUUCGGAAUUACUGGGCGUAAAGCGCACGUAGGCGGCUUUGUAAGUCAGGGGUGAAAUCCCGGGGCUCAACCUCGGAACUGCCUUUGAUACUGCAAAUCUCGAGUCCGGAAGAGGUGAGUGGAAUUCCUAGUGUAGAGGUGAAAUGCGUAGAUAUUAGGAAGAACACCAGUGGCGAAGGCGGCUCACUGGUCCGGUACUGACGCUGAGGUGCGAAAGCGUGGGGAGCAAACAGG
RNAcentral lists this ribosomal RNA (253 nucleotides) under uncultured bacterium. RNAcentral's name for it is "partial 16S ribosomal RNA". It matches the Rfam family "Bacterial small subunit ribosomal RNA", at positions 524 to 776 of the family's 1533-position model. The record is from RNAcentral.